Molecule: ribosomal RNA, 432 nt
Filed under: uncultured bacterium
Lineage: Bacteria
Description: partial 16S ribosomal RNA
Rfam family: Bacterial small subunit ribosomal RNA
Source: RNAcentral
AACGAACGCUGGCGGCAGGCCUAACACAUGCAAGUCGAGCGAGGACUUCGGUUCUAGCGGCGGACGGGUGAGUAACGCGUGGGAAUGUGCCCUUCUCUACGGAAUAGCCCUGGGAAACUGGGAGUAAUACCGUAUACGCCCUUUUGGGGAAAGAUUUAUCGGAGAAGGAUCAGCCCGCGUUGGAUUAGGUAGUUGGUGGGGUAAUGGCCUACCAAGCCGACGAUCCAUAGCUGGUUUGAGAGGAUGAUCAGCCACACUGGGACUGAGACACGGCCCAGACCCCUCAGGGAGGCAGAGGUGGGGAAUUUUAAACAGUGGGGGCAACCCUGAUCUGCCCAUGCCGGGUGAGUGAUGAAGGCCUUAGGGUUGUAAAGCUCUUUCCGCUGGGAAGAAAAUGACGGUACCAGCAAAAAAACCCCCGGCUAACUCCGU